RNAcentral lists this ribosomal RNA (22 nucleotides) under Beta vulgaris subsp. maritima. Lineage: Eukaryota; Viridiplantae; Streptophyta; Magnoliopsida; Caryophyllales; Amaranthaceae. The record is from RNAcentral.
GGGUGCGAUCAUACCAGGACUA